UGUGGAAUAUUGGACAAUGGGCGAAAGCCUGAUCCAGCAAUGCCGCGUGUGUGAAGAAGGUCUUCGGAUUGUAAAGCACUUUCGACGGGGACGAUGAUGACGGUACCCGUAGAAGAAGCCCCGGCUAACUUCGUGCCAG
This 139-nucleotide ribosomal RNA is filed under the name uncultured bacterium. RNAcentral describes it as "partial 16S ribosomal RNA". It matches the Rfam family "Bacterial small subunit ribosomal RNA", at positions 355 to 511 of the family's 1533-position model. The record is from RNAcentral.